AGAUUCUUCGGAUGAUCGAUCGGUGACUGAGUGGCGGACGGGUGAGUAACGCGUGGGUAACCUGCCCUGUACAGGGGGAUAACAGCUGGAAACGGCUGCUAAUACCGCAUAAGCGCACGAGGAGACAUCUCCUAGUGUGAAAAACUCCGGUGGUACAGGAUGGGCCCGCGUCUGAUUAGCUGGUUGGCAGGGUAACGGCCUACCAAGGCAACGAUCAGUAGCCGGUCUGAGAGGAUGAACGGCCACAUUGGAACUGAGACACGGUCCAAACUCCUACGGGAGGCAGCAGUGGGGAAUAUUGCACAAUGGGGGAAACCCUGAUGCAGCAACGCCGCGUGAGUGAAGAAGUAUUUCGGUAUGUAAAGCUCUAUCAGCAGGGAAGAUAAUGACGGUACCUGACUAAGAAGCUCCGGCUAAAUACGUGCCAGCAGCCGCGGUAAUACGUAUGGAGCAAGCGUUAUCCGGAUUUACUGGGUGUAAAGGGUGCGUAGGUGGCAGUGCAAGUCAGAUGUGAAAGGCCGGGGCUCAACCCCGGAGCUGCAUUUGAAACUGCUCGGCUAGAGUACAGGAGAGGCAGGCGGAAUUCCUAGUGUAGCGGUGAAAUGCGUAGAUAUUAGGAGAAUCACCAGUGGCGAAGGCGGCCUGCUGGACUGUUACUG
Molecule: ribosomal RNA, 659 nt
Filed under: uncultured Lachnospiraceae bacterium
Lineage: Bacteria; Bacillati; Bacillota; Clostridia; Lachnospirales; Lachnospiraceae
Description: bacterial SSU rRNA
Rfam family: Bacterial small subunit ribosomal RNA
Source: RNAcentral